RNAcentral lists this small RNA (1643 nucleotides) under Pongo abelii (Sumatran orangutan). RNAcentral describes it as "processed transcript". Lineage: Eukaryota; Metazoa; Chordata; Mammalia; Primates; Hominidae. The record is from RNAcentral.
GGCCUCACUGCAUUGCCGCUGUCCAUCCUGUGGUGCUGAAGCAACCAAGAGACCCAAGCCUGCAUGGCUGCCUCUUAGGAUAUGACAGCACAGCCAGUGGCCUCUACUUGAUCCUGUACAACCUCACAAGACACCCAGACACCAGGAGUGCUGCCAGCACGUGUUGCAAGAGUCCUGAGGAGCCACAGUCCUGAAGACAUUGAAUGGUGGGUGCAGAGCCUCAUGGCCUGUUCCCCAGCCCCUCUCAUUGGCUCUGCUCCAGGUGGUGAAGGGGGAAAAUGUUUUUGUCAAUUCUUCCAUGAUUGCCUAACAGGAAAAGGAGCAGAGCCCAGAAGCAGGGCCUGGUAUGCAGCCUGCCUAGCAAGGGAGAAUUUGUAGGCUUUGUGGACAGAAAGGUCUGGGAGUCCAUAUCUAUCACCCACUAACUUUCUAUGAGACAUUAGUAAAAUCAGUUUUCUUUUCUGAACUACAUUUCUGCCACCUGUAAAUUGAGGGGAAUUUCUUCUACCUCACAAAUCUGCUUGGGAAAUGCCUCACAGUGAAUGCAGAGCAGGUGCCACCCAGCAGGCAUUUGGUGUCCAGACCACUCCUCUUCCCCCUUGAUUUUCUGCCUAAAUUUGCAUUUUGUUCCCAAGACCUCCACUCCCCUUUAUUUUGCUCUUCCCUCUGAUUCCCACCUUAUCAUCUAUCCCAUGGAUUCACCAGGAUAUAAGUGGGUAACAGUCAUGUAUGCAUGUAUGUGGAUGUACAUAUGCCCUGUGUUGUGUCGGAGUGUGGGGUGUGUGUGUGUGUGUGUGUGUGUGUGUUGGAGUCACUGAGUGACUGAAACAGUCCACACCAGCCUGUGUUCCUGCUCAUUGCUUAGAGGUGCUGUCAGCUCCCCUGCCCUCAACCCAAGUUCUGACCCUUGCAGUGCAGUGCAGGCAGGGCGUUCAGGAGGAAUCAUGUCCUUGGAAGGAGCCCUGAGGAGUGACUGUUUUUAGGUGAAAAAAACUGGGGCAAAGAGCAAUACAAGAGAGUUGCCAAAAUUCAUACUGCUGGUGCAGGUUUGAACCAAGCAGUCUGCACUUAGAGUCCUUGUCUGUAACCAUGGCACCCUGGCUUCUCACGCAUCUCAUCCUGGAGUUCCACCUUGUGUCAAGCAUGGCACUGAGCAGUUUCUUUUAAGAACAUAAUUUGUAAUUAUGUAGAUUACUAAUUCUACUUCAAAAUGACACACAGUCUUCAUGUGAUAAAAGGAAACAAUUGCUCAUCUGAUCUGCUGGGAUCUCUACUAAGAUGUUGACAGCCUGGUCAGCUGGUCUGGCCAUGGAUGUGCCUUCAGGGGCUGGUUAUGCUUCAUGACCUGUGUUGCGGUCAGUGCCAUUUUGCAGCCCCUGGUCAGAAUGAAACGUUCCAUGGGAACUCAGGCUGUGAGAAACAUCCUUCCUAACCACGUGACUGCAGGAACAUCCUUACCACAUCCUCCCGGGCAAAGGCCCAACAGCCUGAAUGCAGGGACAUCCUUGCCAUAUCCUGCUGGGCAGCAAGCUCUACCACCCAGAUCCCUCCCUCCCAGUCCCAUGAUUACCCCAGCCUGUGAGCGGCAGUUGGUGCUGACACUAAGCUGGUUUACCCCUCUGCAGGGUUUUGUUGGCAAUAAA